CCGGGAGGGGAGUGAAAUAGAUCCUGAAACCGCAUACAUACAAACAGUAGGAGCCUCGUUAAGGGGUGACUGCGUACCUUUUGCAUAAUGGGUCAGCGACUUACGUUUAAUGGCGAGCUUAACCGUAUAGGGGAGGCGCAGCGAAAGCGAGUUCGAACAGAGCGUUCAGUCGUUAGGCGUAGACCCGAAACCAGAUGAUCUAUCCAUGGCCAGGUUGAAGGUGUGGUAACACACACUGGAGGACCGAACCGACUAGUGUUGCAAAAUUAGCGGAUGAGCUGUGGAUAGGGGUGAAAGGCUAAACAAAUCUGGAGAUAGCUGGUUCUCCCCGAAAACUAUUGAGGUAGUGCCUCGUGUAUGACUCCAGGGGGUAGAGCACUGUUAUGGCUAGGGGGACAUGGCGUCUUACCAAACCAUGGCAAACUCCGAAUACUUGGAAGUUUGAGCACGGGAGACAGAGCACCGGGUGCUAACGUCCGGACUCAAGAGGGAAACAACCCAGACCGCCGGCUAAGGUCCCUAAUAUUGACUAAGUGGAAAACGAAGUGGAAAGGCUAAGACAGUCAGGAAGUUGGCUUAGAAGCAGCCAUCCUUCAAAGAAAGCGUAAUAGCUCACUGAUCGAGUCUUUCUGCGCGGAAGAUGUAACGGGGCUAAGUCAAUAACCGAAGCCGCGGAUUCACACUUAUGUGUGAGUGGUAGGGGAGCGUUCUGUAAGCCUGCGAAGGUGACUCGUAAGGGUUGCUGGAGGUAUCAGAAGUGCGAAUGCUGACAUGAGUAACGUUAAAGCGGGUGAAAAGCCCGCUCGCCGUAAGCCCAAGGUUUCCUGCUCUACGUUCAUCGGAGCAGGGUGAGUCGGCCCCUAAGGUGAGGCUGAGAAGCGUAACUGAUGGGAACAAGGUUAAUAUUCCUUGACCACCGCUGAAUGCGAAGGGGGGACGGAGUAUUGAAGAUCAUCCGGGUGUUGGAUAUCCCGGUUUGCGAGCGUAGGAGGCUGACAGGCAAAUCCGUCAGCGAAUCUCCGAGGCAAAGCAUCGAGCUCUCUUUUGAGCGAAGUGAUUGGAUGUGCUUCCAGGAAAAGCCUCUAAGCUCCAGUUCAGCGGGACCGUACCGCAAACCGACACUGGUGGGCGAGCUGAAUAUGCUCAGGCGCUUGAGAGAACUCAGGAGAAGGAACUCGGCAAAUUGACACCGUAACUUCGGGAUAAGGUGUGCCUUUGUAGCGUGGAGGGAGAAACACCCCGAGCGCGAAGAGGUCUCAGAUAAUCGGUGGCUGCGACUGUUUAUUAAAAACACAGCACUCUGCAAAGACGAAAGUCGACGUAUAGGGUGUGAUGCCUGCCCGGUGCUGGAAGAUUAAUUGAUGGGGUGCAAGCUCCUGAUCGAAGUCCCAGUAAACGGCGGCCGUAACUAUAACGGUCCUAAGGUAGCGAAAUUCCUUGUC
RNAcentral lists this ribosomal RNA (1442 nucleotides) under human gut metagenome. RNAcentral describes it as "bacterial LSU rRNA". It matches the Rfam family "Bacterial large subunit ribosomal RNA", at positions 526 to 1973 of the family's 2925-position model. The record is from RNAcentral.